RNAcentral lists this small nuclear RNA (144 nucleotides) under Triticum aestivum (bread wheat). RNAcentral describes it as "partial small subunit ribosomal RNA". It matches the Rfam family "U1 spliceosomal RNA", at positions 1 to 134 of the family's 166-position model. Rfam says of the family: U1 is a small nuclear RNA (snRNA) component of the spliceosome (involved in pre-mRNA splicing). Its 5' end forms complementary base pairs with the 5' splice junction, thus defining the 5' donor site of an intron. The record is from RNAcentral. Lineage: Eukaryota; Viridiplantae; Streptophyta; Magnoliopsida; Poales; Poaceae.
UGCACCCUUGCUCCAUACUUACCUGGACGGGGUCGACGAGCGAUCAAGAAGGCUCGUGGCCUAGGUUAGUGACCCACAUUGCACUUAGUGGGUGCGCUGGCCUAUCAUCUCCCCAAGUGGGAGAGUGAACGUCAUAAUUUGUGA